CCUACGGGGGGCAGCAGGGAGGAAUAUUGGACAAUGGACGAGAGCCUGAACCAGCCAAGUAGCGUGAAGGAUGACUGCCCUAUGGGUUGUAAACUUCUUUUAUAUGGGAAUAAAAUGUUCCACGUGUGGGAUUUUGUAUGUACCAUAUGAAUAAGGAUCGGCUAACUCCGUGCCAGCAGCCGCGGUAAUACGGAGGAUCCGAGCGUUAUCCGGAUUUAUUGGGUUUAAAGGGAGCGUAGGUGGAUUGUUAAGUCAGUUGUGAAAGUUUGCGGCUCAACCGUAAAAUUGCAGUUGAAACUGGCAGUCUUGAGUACAGUAGAGGUGGGCGGAAUUCGUGGUGUAGCGGUGAAAUGCUUAGAUAUCACGAAGAACUCCGAUUGCGAAGGCAGCUCACUGGACUGCAACUGACACUGAGGCUCGAAAGUGUGGGUAUCAAACAGGAUUAGAUACCCGUGUAGUC
RNAcentral lists this ribosomal RNA (460 nucleotides) under uncultured bacterium. Its description in RNAcentral is "partial 16S ribosomal RNA". It matches the Rfam family "Bacterial small subunit ribosomal RNA", at positions 338 to 795 of the family's 1533-position model. The record is from RNAcentral.